Small nucleolar RNA from Nannospalax galili (Upper Galilee mountains blind mole rat), 123 nucleotides. Lineage: Eukaryota; Metazoa; Chordata; Mammalia; Rodentia; Spalacidae. The record is from Ensembl.
CAUACUUGUGUGAUUUUGUUGAACUGAUAGAUAAUGACAUAAAAGAUAGGUGCAAAAAUAAAUCUUUUGCAACCCAGAGCUCUUUGUUUAGUAUAAGUUUUGAUAAAUACAAGAAGGAAUAUG